GACAACACCUCCCUGCCGCGCGUGCGCACACGCCGCGCCCGGAACCCCUCCGCCCUCUUGGCUCCGCCGUGAGGAGCUGGGCGCGGUGCCGGCGCUCAGCCCGUCUCCCGGAAGGCCCUAGAGUAACACAUGGAGGACAUUAGAAGACUCUCCUUUCAGUUAAACUGGUAAAAGAUCACUGGGAUGGUUUUAAAGAGACCAGAUUAUCCCACUGAUGUCCUCAUCAAGAUUUGUCAAGAACUGGUGGACACAAUUGUUCGGUGGACACUAUCUCAAAAUUACAAUCCACUGGCCUAUUUUUUCCUAGAAGCUUACCCUGCGGGAGGGUGAAACAGCUGGAUCAAAUUUCUGAACUUCCUUCAUGUGAUUUUAUGCUUGCGGCUUCAACAGGAUUCACAGUUACAUGACUUCCAAAACAUUUAGACAGAAAUAAGCAGAUGUCUACACUUUCCUGAAAUUCCAUAUUAGUCAGCUAUCUUUGGGCAGUAUCGGGAUUACGGUAUUAUUCCAGCAUACAGUUCAAUUUGAAGACUCAUAGCAUAGAUGAAAAAUCUAAGAGUCCUUUUUUACACACUGUUUGUUUAAGAUGGACACACUGUUGUUAAUUUGGAGAAAAGACUAGUAACUUCCUAGGCAGUGUGUCAUUACUUACAUGAAUAACAGCUGCUACUGAAACAAUUACUCAGAUAUAGUGUGGGGUUUUUUUAGUGUGUAUUGAAAAAGUAUUAGAAAUUCUGCAAUAACAUUACCUGCUUUGAUAAAAUAGUCAUAUAAGCAAUGUCAUUUUUAUGUUAAAGUAGCAAGCUUUUCAAUUUGAAAGUAAUUUUUAAAACCAGAUUUAACCCUUUUAAUAACUUAUUUAUUUGAGAAUUCCUCCUCUUCUCCUCCCUCCCCCCCCCCAUAACAUGAAAUCAACUGGUAAUCAUGCAGUAAGAAAUUUCUGAUAUAGGUAUUUAUUUCUGCCAAUAUAAAAUGAAAGUGUAAAUAACCAGUUCAUGUUAAAUUGUUUUAAGUAGAAGAUGAUGAUGAUAUUUUAAUCUUCACAGAAAUAAAGGAGGUUUAGCUUCCUGGGAA
Molecule: long non-coding RNA, 1074 nt
Organism: Mauremys mutica (yellowpond turtle)
Lineage: Eukaryota; Metazoa; Chordata; Testudines; Geoemydidae
Exons: 4
Source: RefSeq, a predicted model, not a curated record